AGGCCUGCAGCUUGCUGCGGGUACUCGAGUGGCGGACGGGUGAGUAACACGUGGGUGAUCUGCCUUGCACUUCGGGAUAAGCUUGGGAAACUGGGUCUAAUACCGGAUAGGACAGCUGUUUAGUGUCAGUUGUGGAAAGUUUUUUCGGUGCAAGAUGAGCUCGCGGCCUAUCAGCUUGUUGGUGGGGUAAUGGCCUACCAAGGCGUCGACGGGUAGCCGGCCUGAGAGGGUGUACGGCCACAUUGGGACUGAGAUACGGCCCAGACUCCUACGGGAGGCAGCAGUGGGGAAUAUUGCACAAUGGGCGGAAGCCUGAUGCAGCGACGCCGCGUGGGGGAUGAAGGCCUUCGGGUUGUAAACUCCUUUCGACAGGGACGAAGCGUAAGUGACGGUACCUGUAUAAGAAGCACCGGCUAACUACGUGCCAGCAGCCGCGGUAAUACGUAGGGUGCGAGCGUUGUCCGGAAUUACUGGGCGUAAAGAGCUCGUAGGUGGUUUGUCGCGUCGUCUGUGAAAUUCCGGGGCUUAACUCCGGGCGUGCAGGCGAUACGGGCUGACUUGAGUGCUGUAGGGGAGACUGGAAUUCCUGGUGUAGCGGUGAAAUGCGCAGAUAUCAGGAGGAACACCGAUGGCGAAGGCAGGUCUCUGGGCAGUAACUGACGCUGAGGAGCGAAAGCAUGGGUAGCGAACAGGAUUAGAUACCCUGGUAGUCCAUGCCGUAAACGGUGGGCGCUAGGUGUAGGGGGCUUCCACGUCUUCUGUGCCGUAGCUAACGCAUUAAGCGCCCCGCCUGGGGAGUACGCCGCAAG
Molecule: ribosomal RNA, 809 nt
Filed under: uncultured Actinomycetes bacterium
Lineage: Bacteria; Bacillati; Actinomycetota; Actinomycetes
Description: bacterial SSU rRNA
Rfam family: Bacterial small subunit ribosomal RNA
Source: RNAcentral